CCAAACGGCUCCAUGUGCCAAAACCCGGAUUCCAACCCGCCUCCAUUCUUACAGCGAAAAAUCUAGCUUAAACAAGCAUUCCGUAUCCAAUUCAUCAUCGUCCCCAACUCGAUUUCGCGCCGUCAGCAUUAGGGAGAAAGAAUCAAGACACCAUUUCCAAAAGCUCAGGUCGAUGAGCAGCGCCGUUCCCUUCACCGUGUUUCAAAGACUUCGUGUUGUCUCUCUCACGAACAGAAUAAAGGCUUCGCGGGCUUUCAGAACAACAACGCGGCGCCGAAAUCUUCACCGUGUCUCGAUGGUUCCAAAAUCAAAUUCUGGAUUUGAAUUUCAACAAUUUGAAGUCCGAUUCAACUCAAUCUCCAUGUGAGCGUGAAAUUAAAGGGGACGAAAUCGAAACGAAGCAAAGGGAAUUUACCGAUUCGGAGGAAUUCGUUCUGAUCUACUUCUUGCGUUGAGCUUCCGUGUUCGUUGUGGAGUAGCGUUGCAUUGAGGGUGACGUCGAUCUUUUCCGGUAUUUUUUGUCUCGGUUCUUUUUCUUUUCAAGCUUCUUCUUCUACGGGCACCUGUCUCUAUUCCUCUUUCUCGAUUCUUCCUGUUAUGCGUUGUUCUGGAUCACUCUCCGUCUUCUUCUCGAUCUUUUUCUUUUUUGACUACUGUUGUGAACCUUGUUAUGCUUCUGCCGUAUGAUUGUGGUGAGAAUUGUUGCGUGUGAAUGGAAGGUUGGUGGAAUAUUGGGGUAGGUUAGAGGUGAUUGCAGGUUCCGUGAGUGGGAGGAAGAGAAAAUUGUCCAGAUGGUGAAGUGUGAAGCCGUGUGAGAAGAAGAGUGGCUUUGUGAAGAAGUUUUUUUGUGUGGAGGUGGUUUGUUGAAAUGAUGAGGUUGAAGAAGAGAGUUCAAUUCCUGAAGAUGAUUUCUGUUAUGGUCAGUUGGGGAGGUUAUGAAGUUUGUUAGGGAUUUCGGUUGGAGGUUGGUUAGACUUUAUUCAAUCUGUUAUUGAAAGUUGUUUGAGGAUUGUGAGCAGUAGGAGUUUUUGUUUUGCAGGGUGUAGAAAAGAGGCUCUGUUAAGGGUUAUUGUUUUGAGGCUUUUUCGGUUUAUUUUCUCGAGCAGUGGAUGGCUACAGAUUUGACAAUGAAGAAGUAACAUCCGUCUACGUGAGAAACCUGCCUGCUGAUAUUUUCCUACACAUUUGUCAAACUAGAGGAAUGACUUAUUUCCAUCAUCAUAAAAUAAGCCUCUUGAUCCAGGAACAAAGUGGUGGAUACUGCAUGUUUGGAGUCGGUAUUGGAUUUCAUGAGCUUGGCUUUGGAUGCUUGGAAUGGCUAGGAUCGAUGGUGUAGUCUUAUGAGAAGUGAAAGGCUUGACAUUUCUAUGCUUGGAAUGCAUGGACCCGGUCCCCAUUGGCUAUGUGAAGUUAUAUGGAUUUGAUGAUUAUGGAGCUAUUUUUUAGAGUUUAGAUUUAUUUUGUAUAGUUGGUUUAUCUAGUGAAUUUAAAAUGAAUGUAUGUGGUUGAAUUGAUAUUUGUAUUUCUGUAUGGUUUAUGUAUGGAUUGAAACUUUGAAUGGAUUUUAGAAAUCCAAUGUAUGGUUGAAAUUGUAUGUAGGAAUUUACUGUAAUUUUGUAUGUAGUUCAUGGUUUUAGUUUUGAAAUGUAAUUAGGAUUGGAAUGUUAAUGGAUGAGAGUUAUUAGGGUA
Long non-coding RNA from Lathyrus oleraceus (garden pea), 1689 nucleotides. RefSeq lists it as uncharacterized. The record is from RefSeq and is a predicted model, not a curated record. NCBI's taxonomy places the organism in Eukaryota, Viridiplantae, Streptophyta, Magnoliopsida, Fabales, Fabaceae. The transcript has 4 exons.